Molecule: non-coding RNA, 110 nt
Organism: Salvelinus sp. IW2-2015
Lineage: Eukaryota; Metazoa; Chordata; Actinopteri; Salmoniformes; Salmonidae
Source: RefSeq, a predicted model, not a curated record
CUUUGUAAAGGUGGAGAAGGAAGCAGCAGCAGCACUAGAGCUUCAGGUGCUCCUGCAGAACUGGAGAUGGUGGUCAGUUCAGAGUCAGACUCAGAGCAGGAACCUUCAGG